UACGGGGGGGGCAAGCGUUGUUCGGAAUUACUGGGCGUAAAGGGCUCGUAAGCGGCCAACUAAGUCGGACGUGAAAUCCCCAGGCUCAACCUGGGAACUGCGUCCGAUACUGGAUGGCUUGAAUUCGGGAGAGGGAUGCAGAAUUCCAGGUGUAGCGGUGAAAUGCGUAGAUAUCUGGAGGAAUACCGGUGGCGAAGGCGGCAUCCUGGACCGACAUUGACGCUGAGGAGCGAAAGCGUGGGGAGCAAACAGG
This 253-nucleotide ribosomal RNA is filed under the name uncultured bacterium. Its description in RNAcentral is "partial 16S ribosomal RNA". It matches the Rfam family "Bacterial small subunit ribosomal RNA", at positions 524 to 776 of the family's 1533-position model. The record is from RNAcentral.